AGCAGGGGGAGAGUCCGGGAGGGCGCUGCACUUCGACGCCUCCUGGACUGUGCCGGCGCCUCCGCCCUUGCUGCGGGGCAGUGCGCGGCUCGCCCCCGGACUGCAGGAUUGCUGUCUCCUCCCGCUGAGUAACUGCACGGGUUAUUGACUCCACCACCUCCCCGGGCAGCCCACUCCAAUGUUUAAUCACCCUUUCAGUGAAGAACUUCUUCCCAAUAUCCAGCGCAAACCUCCCCUUCCACAGCUUGUGCUAUUGCUGGUUGCCUGGGAGAAGGUGCCAGCCCUCACCUGGCUACAGCUUUCUUUCAGGUGGACUAUUCUGCUCCCUGUCCCCAUCUACUAGCUCAGGAGACCAGGACAUUGCACUCAAGAAAACAUCCUGAUGGCAAGUCUCUCUUCCUGGAUUAAUAGGUUUUUCAUCCAAACCCCUAUGGAAAAGUACUUUCUCCCUGGCUGUGGAACAAUGGUGUGUUAAAUAUUUUUGUAAAAGAUCAACAUAAUAUUGGGAAAAUUGGAUGGGUACCUGUAUUGGAUUUGUGUGGCAAGGUUUUAUUAGUGGGGGAGGCUACAGGGUGGCUUCUGUGAAAACCUGAUAGAAGCGUCCCCCAUGUCUGACAGGACCAACACCAGAUGGCUCCAAGACAGGCCCGCCACUGGCCAAGGCUGAGCCUGUCAGUGACAGUGGUAGCACCUCUGCGAUAGGAUAGUUAAGAAAAGAAAAAAAAAAUUAUUGUGCAGAAAUACUUGCAGUCAGAGAAGAAAGGAGUGGAAAUAAGUGAGAGAAACAGCUUUUGCAGACAUCAAGAUCAGUGAAGAAGAGGCAGGAGGUGGCCAUUUUCAGAUCACAAAAUAUCCUAAGGCACCCAGAAGGAACAUCAAGUCCAACUCUUCAGUGAAUGGCCCACGGUGGGAUCAAUCCCACAACCUCGAUGUUAUUAGCACCAUUCUCUAACCAGCUGAGCUAAUCUCAGGGUCAUAAUACUCCAGGUGCCAGAGCUGAGAUUCCCCUGCAGCCUGUGGCGAAGACCAUGAUGAGGCAGCAGUGCCCCUGCAGCCCAUGGAGGGCAAUGGUGUAUCAGAUAUCCACCUGCAGCCUGCGGAGGACCCCACACUGCAGCGAGUGGGUGCCCAAAGGAGGCUGUGACCCUGUGACCCCCUGGAGCAGGACUUGUGGACCUAUGAAAAGAGAAGCCCAUAGCAGAUUUGCUAGCAGGACUUGUGACCCUGUGGAGGGGCCGUGCUGGAGAAGUUCAUGAGGAGCUGGAGGUCAUGGGAAGGACUCACAUUGGAGAAGUUUGUGGAGAACUCUCAAGGGGAGGGACCCCACAACGGAGCAGGGAAAGAGUGUGAGUAGUUCUACCCCUGUCAUAGAAGGAGCAGACACAUACAUUCAUGUGUGAUAAACUGACUACAACUCCCAUUCCCUGUCACCCUGCUCUUCUGGUGGAGGGGACAUAGAGAAAACUGGGAGUGAAGUUGAGCCUGGGAAGAAAGGAGAGUUGAGGAAGGUGUUUUUUAAAGUUUGGGGUUAUUUCUUACUAUCCUACUCCAAUAUGAUUGGUAAUAAAAAUAAAUUCAUUUCAUUUUCCCCAGUCCCCAGGUUUUGCCCCUGACAGUAAUUAAUGCUUAAUCUUUACCUGCCUUUAUCUUAACCCAUGUGGCUUUUGUUAUUGUCUCUCCCUGUCCAGCUGAGGAGGGGUGUGACAGAGCAGCAUUGGUUGACACAUGCCAUCCAGAUAGAGUCAAGCCGCCACAGUAUCCCUUUUGUUUCUGCCCAGCUUCACUUCAUUUUUAUUUUCCUCACUUGUACUCUGCGGCAGACCUUAAUGUCAAUGCCUGCACAGUGAGGGCUUCCUGCUAAAUAUUAUCUCUAAGAAACAAAGCAGCUACAAAUUAUGAAGGGCAGAGAUAAGGGUGAUUACCCUGCUAGCACACUGAGGAUACAGGGCCCACAUGGCCAGUUGCUGCAUCAGCCAUAUGAUGGCUAAACUGGCUGCAAUCCCAUAAAUUUCUUUCCUUUCUAGGACAGAUGGGAGCUUUUGAACUGAUGGGGGGCAGUGAAGCAUCACAGCUUAGUCUUGGACCAUUACAAAUUAUGUAGGAAAGGCUAUUGGUUGCAAGGAAGCUUCACAGUUUGGAGGGAAAAGAAGAAAAUAAAAAGUCAGGGAGAUGUGCACCUAAUCUACUGCUGAGGAAAUGAGAGAAAUAAAUACAGACUGAAUGUGAAGUAACAAUGCUGAACCAUAUAAUUUAAAAAGCUUAAAAAUACAGGGAAAAGGUCUACUGUUCUUGUGGCUGCUAAAGCAGAUGUAAGUUUUGCGAUAGGUUUUCGUGUUUGCAAAUUCACAACCUCCAUGGCUCAGGCUGAUAGUGGGGUGUCCAUUUAAAGCUACUGUGCUAUUGCAUAUAAAAAUCAAAAAUAGCGACUCUAACCUCAGCACAACCACUGAUUCCUGACCACAGCCCACUGCUUCUGCCCGGGAUGCUUUAAAGACUGCUGUCCGGGCUAUCAAUCCCCUGCUUUAACGGCUAGAUCCCACAGGCUGGCAGUGCUCCCAGCACAGGGAGCACGUUAGCAUCUGAUUUUUGCUGGCCUCUCCCGGGAGAGCUAUGGGAGGUUUCUUCAGAAUUAUUUUGUUCCUUGCAGCUUUCUGUUAAACAGGCUGACACUGGGUCUGCUGCAGAGAGGGGAAUAAAAAAGAGGCUUUUUGUAGCAUAACAAUGCCUUGUGCUGAUGUGCAGUGGGCAAUUAUGUAACCAACGCUAAAUCUUUCUAUAAUUAGAACAAGCACCUAGUUAGAGUGAUCAGAGCUCUUUUGUGUGCGCCUGCAUGGGGCUAUGCAAGAAAAACCUUGGCUUGAAAGAAAAAUACUGGCUUGAUUUCCCUUCCCUUUUCAACUGGUGAAUAAAUUAAAUCUCAGAUUACCCCAAAUUGCUGUGAAAGACAAACUGUGAAAAGCGUUUCCUUUUCAUUCCCGUUGAAGACUUUUGCAUCCCAGGUGUGAAUCUCAUGAAAUGCAGAUGCAAACCCAAAGACUCAGCCCCUCCAUCCCAAGCACCCGAGCAGCAAGAGCAGCCAGACUGCCUGAAGAGAGGGCAGAAGGUCAGCAUCAGCCCUCCCUGUU
This is a long non-coding RNA of Hirundo rustica (Barn swallow), 3125 nucleotides long. RefSeq lists it as uncharacterized. The transcript has 3 exons. Lineage: Eukaryota; Metazoa; Chordata; Aves; Passeriformes; Hirundinidae. The record is from RefSeq and is a predicted model, not a curated record.